AUUGAACGCUGGCGGCAGGCCUAACACAUGCAAGUCGGACGGUAGCACAGAGGAGCUUGCUCCUCGGGUGACGAGUGGCGGACGGGUGAGUAAUGUCUGGGGAUCUGCCCGAUAGAGGGGGAUAACCACUGGAAACGGUGGCUAAUACCGCAUAACGUCGCAAGACCAAAGAGGGGGACCUUCGGGCCUCUCACUAUCGGAUGAACCCAGAUGGGAUUAGCUAGUAGGCGGGGUAACGGCUCACCUAGGCGACGAUCCCUAGCUGGUCUGAGAGGAUGACCAGCCACACUGGAACUGAGACACGGUCCAGGCUCCUACGGGAGGCAGCAGUGGGGAAUAUUGCACAAUGGGCGCAAGCCUGAUGCAGCCAUGCCGCGUGUAUGAAGAAGGCCUUCGGGUUGUAAAGUACUUUCAGCGGGGAGGAAGGCGAUGUGGUUAAUAACCGCGUCGAUUGACGUUACCCGCAGAAGAAGCACCGGCUAACUCCGUGCCAGCAGCCGCCGUAA
This 506-nucleotide ribosomal RNA is filed under the name uncultured bacterium. Its description in RNAcentral is "partial 16S ribosomal RNA". It matches the Rfam family "Bacterial small subunit ribosomal RNA", at positions 29 to 523 of the family's 1533-position model. The record is from RNAcentral.